CUCUGUUAUACGCUCAGACACGUUACUGGGAGUAUUAUUGCUGUGGAGCUCUGUUAUACACUCAGACACAUUACUGGGAGUAUUAUUACUGUGGAGCUCUGUUAUACACUCAGACACAUUACUGGGAGUAUUAUUGCUGUGGAGCUCUGUUAUAUACUCAGACACAUUACUGGGAGUAUUAUUGCUGUGGAGCUCUGUUAUAUACUCAGACACAUUACUGG
Pelobates cultripes (western spadefoot toad) is the source of this 221-nucleotide non-coding RNA. Lineage: Eukaryota; Metazoa; Chordata; Amphibia; Anura; Pelobatidae. The record is from the annotation of a GenBank genome assembly.